This 465-nucleotide ribosomal RNA is filed under the name uncultured bacterium. RNAcentral's name for it is "bacterial SSU rRNA". It matches the Rfam family "Bacterial small subunit ribosomal RNA", at positions 330 to 793 of the family's 1533-position model. The record is from RNAcentral.
GCCAGACUCCUACGGGAGGCAGCAGUGAGGAAUAUUGGUCAAUGGGCGGGAGCCUGAACCAGCCAAGCCGCGUGAGGGAAGAAGGUACAGCGUAUCGUAAACCUCUUUUGUCAGGGAACAAAGGCGGGGACUAGUCCCCGGAUGAGGGUACCUGAAGAAAAAGCAUCGGCUAACUCCGUGCCAGCAGCCGCGGUAAUACGGAGGAUGCGAGCGUUAUCCGGAUUUAUUGGGUUUAAAGGGUGCGUAGGCGGAAUGCCAAGUCAGCGGUAAAAUCGCGGGGCUCAACCUCGCUCCGCCGUUGAAACUGCGUUUCUUGAGUGGGCGAGAAGUACGCGGAAUGCGUGGUGUAGCGGUGAAAUGCAUAGAUAUCACGCAGAACUCCGAUUGCGAAGGCAGCGUACCGGCGCCCAACUGACGCUGAAGCACGAAGGCGUGGGUAUCGAACAGGAUUAGAUACCCCAGUAG